CCUACGGGUGGCAGCAGUGAGGAAUAUUGGUCAAUGGACGAGAGUCUGAACCAGCCAAGUAGCGUGAAGGAUGACUGCCCUAUGGGUUGUAAACUUCUUUUAUAUGGGAAUAAAAUGUUCCACGUGUGGGAUUUUGUAUGUACCAUAUGAAUAAGGAUCGGCUAACUCCGUGCCAGCAGCCACGGUAAUACGGAGGAUCCGAGCGUUAUCCGGAUUUAGUGGGUUUAAAAGGAGCGAAGGUGGAUUGUUAAGUCAGUUGUGAAAGUUUGCGGCUCAACCGUAAAAUUGCAGUUGAAACUGGCAGUCUUCAGUACAGUAGCGGUGGGCGUAAUGCGUGGUGUAGCGGUGAAAUGCUUAGAUAUAACGAAGAACUCCGAUUGCGAAGGCAGCUCACUGGACUGCAACUGACACUGAGGCUCGAAAGUGUGGGUAUCAAACCGGAUUAGAUACUCCAGUAGUC
RNAcentral lists this ribosomal RNA (460 nucleotides) under uncultured bacterium. RNAcentral describes it as "partial 16S ribosomal RNA". It matches the Rfam family "Bacterial small subunit ribosomal RNA", at positions 338 to 795 of the family's 1533-position model. The record is from RNAcentral.